RNAcentral lists this transfer RNA (55 nucleotides) under Acanthemblemaria hancocki (Hancock's blenny). RNAcentral describes it as "partial tRNA-Pro". Lineage: Eukaryota; Metazoa; Chordata; Actinopteri; Blenniiformes; Chaenopsidae. The record is from RNAcentral.
AAAUUCGAAAUUUUUGCCGCGCCGAGCUCCGCCCCUUUUGGGAAUUUUUGCCGCG